GCCGCGGUAAUUCCAGCUCCAAUAGCGUAUAUUAACGUUGUUGCAGUUAAAAAGCUCGUAGUUGAAGUUGGAUGAGUAUUUGAGAUGAAUUUUCGAAUUGAUUUCAAAUCCUUAUCAUUUCUAGUAGUUAUGCUUGGGUAUUCAAUUACUUGAGUAUGAUAGCUAGUCAUUUACUGUGAGAAAAUUAGAGUGUUUAAAGCAGACGUUUGUUUGAAUAGAUUAGCAUGGAAUAAUAAUGAUAUGCUUGAUUUCAUUGAUUGGUUAUGAAAGAUAGCAAGAUUAAAAGGGACAGUUGGGGGUAUUCAUAUUCAAUAGUUAGAGGUGAAAUUCUCGGAUUUAUGGAAGAUGAACAAAUGCGAAAGCAUUUACCAAGGAUGUUUUCAUUAAUCAAGAACGAAGG
RNAcentral lists this ribosomal RNA (400 nucleotides) under Blastocystis sp. RNAcentral's name for it is "SSU rRNA". It matches the Rfam family "Eukaryotic small subunit ribosomal RNA", at positions 573 to 989 of the family's 1831-position model. Lineage: Eukaryota; Bigyra; Opalinata; Blastocystidae. The record is from RNAcentral.